UGGGACGCGCCGGGAGGUUUGCCGAUCGGUAGCCUAGCAACGGCUACGUCAUCAUGCUGUGACCGGAUGCGGUGCCGCCGGAGGCUCCCGCCCGCCGCGUCUCCCAGUCUCAUGUGGGAUCUACGGUACGAAAAUGAUGUACAACUAAUAUACCCCAUAUAUUACUACAGUCAAAAAAUAAUCUGAGGCAUGCAACAUGACAAAUUUGCUUUAACAUGCAGCAUCCCCUUCUUGUAAAUGGGACGAUAUGGAAAUGUACUGCAAUACCAGUGAGACAGAAGUAACCGCAGUUGUAAGUAGAGAAAAUACAAGGAGAAAAGAAGCAUCAGGAGCUGACAGUGACAUAUCAUCCACUUUAUGCUCACUCAGAAGAUUGUUCUUGUAUCACAUUACCUGCCUAGGUGGGCCCUUCUGUUGAUAUUUGAAGAUGUUUAUCCCACUUGGAAAAAGCUUAUAUAGCGGAGGUAGUUUGUUGCACACAGUAAUGCUACGGUAUUUAAUAGCGUAAAAUAACUGGCAAAGCCACACUUGUCAUACUUGAGAUGAUGUCUAUUAUAAUGUAUCAAACCAUGGGGCAGAUGUAUUAAGCCUGGAGAAGGGAUAAAGAAGUGAUAAAGCAGUGAUAAGUGAA
Pseudophryne corroboree (corroboree frog) is the source of this 631-nucleotide long non-coding RNA. RefSeq lists it as uncharacterized. The transcript has 2 exons. The record is from RefSeq and is a predicted model, not a curated record. NCBI's taxonomy places the organism in Eukaryota, Metazoa, Chordata, Amphibia, Anura, Myobatrachidae.